GACGAACGCUGGCGGCGUGCCUAAUACAUGCAAGUAGAACGCUGAAGCGCGGCGCUUGCUCUUCUCGGAUGAGUUGCGAACGGGUGAGUAACGCGUAGUUAACCUGCCUUGUCGCGGGGGAUAACUAUUGGAAACGCUAGCUAAUACCGCAUAACAAUAGGUGACACAUGUCUUUUAUUUGAAUGGGGCAAUUGCUCCACUACAAGAUGGACCUGCGUUGUAUUAGCUAGUAGGUGAGGUAACGGCUCACCUAGGCGACGAUACAAAGCCGACCUGAGAGGGGGAACGGGCACACUGGGACUGAGACACGGCCCAGACUCCUACGGGAGGCAGCAGUAGGGAAGCGUCGGCAAUGGGGGCAACCCUGACCGAGCAACGCCGGGUGAAUGAAGAAGGUUUUCGGGUCGGAAAGAGCUGUUGUAAGUCAAGAACGAGUGUGAGAGGGGAAAGGUCACACUGUGACGGUAGCUUACCAGAAAGGGACGGCUAACUACGUG
Molecule: ribosomal RNA, 497 nt
Filed under: uncultured bacterium
Lineage: Bacteria
Description: partial 16S ribosomal RNA
Rfam family: Bacterial small subunit ribosomal RNA
Source: RNAcentral